Salvelinus sp. IW2-2015 is the source of this 610-nucleotide long non-coding RNA. RefSeq lists it as uncharacterized. NCBI's taxonomy places the organism in Eukaryota, Metazoa, Chordata, Actinopteri, Salmoniformes, Salmonidae. The record is from RefSeq and is a predicted model, not a curated record.
GUCUGAUUGGUUAGAGCAGAUCCGCAAUAUUAUGUAUUGGCCGCAAGUAUUGGCUAGGUCGGACCUGCAUUGCACCAGUAGCGCUAGAUGGAAAUCCCAUAAAUGUAACAAAGUUAAAACCAAUACUAUUUAAGCCCAUUGUUUGUCCAAACGGCUCAGUUUGUUACAGAUGGAGAUUACAUUGUGGUCUACUAAAAGCUUUGGAAAUGUAAGUAUUUUGUGACAGCGGAGAGGACUACCGGGCUGACAAGUGCUGCUGAGAUUCUAUGCUGGGAGGUGCAAGACUUUCCAUUGGAUGAUACGCUACCUACUAGAAAAUCAUGUAUAAACUCAGCUUUGAAACAGAAGUCGAUGACAGCCUGACUGAAGAGAUGUCCUCAGAUACAGCAUGUCCAUGAUCUUUACCUCUUCAGUUGACUGAGACAUCACUGAAAGGUCAACCUCCGUAUCUGCCAAUGACUCCACCCUGCAGAGAGAGAGAGAGAGAGAUAUUCCACCUGUCUCUCUAUUCCCACUCUGUCAGUUGACCCAUCAAAUCUCAUUUCAGUGGUACACUGUGCAUUUGUCAUCAAUAAAAAAUUCUGAAUAUGAAAUGUCCAGAGCAUGGAAA